Molecule: ribosomal RNA, 1242 nt
Filed under: metagenome
Description: bacterial LSU rRNA
Rfam family: Bacterial large subunit ribosomal RNA
Source: RNAcentral
UGAGUACGAGAUGCUACGGCAUCGAAGCAGUCUAUGUCAUACUUCCAAGAAAAGCUCGCACUGUCAAAAACAAAUGAAUGCCUGUACCAUAACCGACACAGGUGGGUAGGUAGAGUAUACUAAGGGGCGCGAGAUAACUCUCUCUAAGGAACUCGGCAAAAUGACUCCGUAACUUCGGGAGAAGGAGUGCCUUAUUUAUAAGGUUGCAAUAACCAGCUCCAAGCAACUGUUUAUCAAAAACACAGGUCUCCGCUAAGUCGUAAGACGAUGUAUGGGGGCUGACGCCUGCCCAGUGCCAGAAGGUUAAAGAAGUUGGUUAGCGCAAGCGAAGCUGAUAACUGAAGCCCUGGUGAACGGCGGCCGUAACUAUAACGGUCCUAAGGUAGCGAAAUUCCUUGUCGGGUAAGUUCCGACCCGCACGAAAGGCGUAAUGAUUUGGAGGCUGUCUCGGAGAGGGACUCGGUGAAAUAGACUUGUCUGUGAAGAUGCGGACUACCUGCACCAGGACAGAAAGACCCUAUGAAGCUUUACUGUAACUUGAGAUUGAAAUUGGACUUUAUUCGCGCAGUAUAGGUGGGAGGCAUUGAAAAUAUUCUUGCGGGAAUAUUGGAGCCAUCAGUGAGAUACCACUCUUGUAAUGUUAGAUUUCUAACUUUGUAUCAUUAUCUGGUCAAAGAACAGUUUCAGGCGGGCAGUUUGACUGGGGCGGUCGCCUCCUAAAUGGUAACGGAGGCGCACAAAGGUUUCCUCUGAACGGGUAGAAAUCGUAUCUAGAGUGUAAAGGCAUAAGGAAGCUUGACUGUGAGACCUACAAGUCGAGCAGGGACGAAAGUCGGUCUUAGUGAUCUGACGGUGCUGAGUGGAAAGGCCGUCACUCAACGGAUAAAAGUUACUCUAGGAUAACAGGCUGAUCUCCCCCAAGAGUUCACAUCGACGGGGAGGUUUGGCACCUCGAUGUCGGCUCAUCGCAUCCUGGGGCGGUAGUACGUCCCAAGGGUUGGGCUGUUCGCCCAUGAAAGCGGUACGCGAGCUGGGUUCAGAACGUCGUGAGACAGUUCGGUCCAUAUCCGGUGUAGGCGUUAGAAUAUUGAGAGGAGCCUUCUUUAGUACGAGAGGACCGAGAAGGACAUACCUCUGGUGUACCAGUUAUCGUGCCAACGGUAAACGCUGGGUAGCCAUGUAUGGAGUGGAUAACCGCUGAAAGCAUCUAAGUGGGAAGCCCACCUCAAGAUAAGUAUUCCC